This 808-nucleotide ribosomal RNA is filed under the name Porteria sp. 5 SC-2022a. Its description in RNAcentral is "partial large subunit ribosomal RNA". It matches the Rfam family "Eukaryotic large subunit ribosomal RNA", at positions 352 to 885 of the family's 3401-position model. Lineage: Eukaryota; Metazoa; Arthropoda; Arachnida; Araneae; Desidae. The record is from RNAcentral.
CGUGAGGGAAAGUUGCAAAGAACUUUGAAGAGAGAGUUCAAGAGUACGUGAAACUGCUCAGAGGUAAACGGGUGGGCCCUCGAAAUCCUGUGGCGAGAGGAUUCAGUCUGGGGCGGCGGACGCGGCAGGCCGGAAAUCAGAGCAGGGCUUCCCCGAGCGGGGGCCGUCCGGCCGCGCGGAGUACCGCAGCGCCCGACGCAUUUGACUCUCGUCCGAAGGACGCCGCAGCCGGUUGGGUAGUGCAAGCGCGACGGCCUGAGGGGCGGGAAAUGGCAGGUGGCCGGUGGCGCGCACCAUGCGUGCCGCCGGUUGUUAGCCGUUCCGCCAGUGGCUCGUCACCCGACCGAGGUGUCGCGAGGCCCCUAGUGGGCCCUUGGCGUCUCCUGUUCCUCCAGGACAGCGGGGCAGGGCGCCGCAGUUGGCUAUCGCCGUCCCGUUCGCACCCCCAAGGGUGGUCGGGCGAGCGUGCGCCUCCGUUUGCGGCGACGGACCCGUGCGGAGGUUGGAGGCUGGCGGCGAGUAGGUCGGUCACCCACCCGACCCGUCUUGAAACACGGACCAAGGAGUCUAACAUGUGCGCGAGUCAAUGGGUCUUGAACAGGCCCAGAGGCGCAACGAAAGCAAAGGUCGCGCACCACGCCGGCCGAGUUGGGAUCCCCGGCCCCGUGCCGGGGCGCACCAACGACCCGUCCUAUCCGGCUCGCCGGUUGGGCGGAGUAUGAGCGUACACGUUGGUACCCGAAAGAUGGUGAACUAUGCCCGGGCAGGACGAGGCCAGAGGAAACUCUGGUGGAGGUCCGCAGCGGUU